GGGUCAAUGGUAAGGAAUCUGCCUGGUGUGCAGCAAGUCCCAGGUUCAAUUCCUGGCAUGGCCA
This 64-nucleotide transfer RNA is filed under the name Sphaerodactylus townsendi. Its description in RNAcentral is "tRNA-Thr". Lineage: Eukaryota; Metazoa; Chordata; Lepidosauria; Squamata; Sphaerodactylidae. The record is from RNAcentral.